Molecule: ribosomal RNA, 427 nt
Filed under: uncultured bacterium
Lineage: Bacteria
Description: partial 16S ribosomal RNA
Rfam family: Bacterial small subunit ribosomal RNA
Source: RNAcentral
GUGGGGGAUAUUGCACAAUGGGGGAAACCCUGAUGCAGCGACGCCGCGUGAGGGAAGACGGUUUUCGGAUUGUAAACCUCUGUCUUCGGGGACGAACGAAAUGACGGUACCCGAGGAGGAAGCCACGGCUAACUACGUGCCAGCAGCCGCGGUAAUACGUAGGUGGCAAGCGUUGUCCGGAAUUACUGGGUGUAAAGGGAGCGUAGGCGGGAGUGCAAGUUGAAUGUCAAAUACAUCGGCUCAACCGAUGUUCGCGUUCAAAACUGCAUUUCUUGAGUGAAGUAGAGGCAGGCGGAAUUCCUAGUGUAGCGGUGAAAUGCGUAGAUAUUAGGAGGAACACCAGUGGCGAAGGCGGCCUGCUGGGCUUUUACUGACGCUGAGGCUCGAAAGUGUGGGGAGCAAACAGGAUUAGAAACCCGUGUAGUCC